AUUGACCUCGGAUCAGGCAGGGAUACCCGCUGAACUUAAGCAU
RNAcentral lists this ribosomal RNA (43 nucleotides) under Caloplaca stillicidiorum. RNAcentral describes it as "partial 28S ribosomal RNA". Lineage: Eukaryota; Fungi; Ascomycota; Lecanoromycetes; Teloschistales; Teloschistaceae. The record is from RNAcentral.